Molecule: long non-coding RNA, 559 nt
Filed under: Equus caballus (horse)
Lineage: Eukaryota; Metazoa; Chordata; Mammalia; Perissodactyla; Equidae
Description: lncRNA (ENSECAG00000046130.1)
Source: RNAcentral
CUCCACUGUGACCUCACCGUCCUUCUCAUCCUGCAGAGUUAAGGGGACAGAGGCACCCAGAGCUAGACCAUGCCCACUCCUUUCCCUGCUCUAAGAGUAAGAAUCCCUGUACUUAGUGGAAGGAUGGAGGGUGAGAAAAGUUUAAAAUUGGAUUGAAUAAGUUUUAAUACUUUGAAGAAGUGUCUUCAAAGCCCGCAGGAUUUAGAUCGACCUUCAGAUUGAUCCGGUUGGGAACCCUUCCCCGCGGUCCUCCUAUCCACUGCGCAGCGAAUGGGCACCACCCCUGGCCUCUUUGCUGCUGCUCUGUUUUUUGGGUUGCUGCCCCAGGAGCAUCGUCUUGACGCUUAGCCUGCAAGGCGUCAGGCGAGUACAGACCACAAGGUGGCAGCAGAGGACUAGCCUGGUAGAGUCCACUUGCUAUCACAGUCGGGAGGACCCUUGGGGAUGGGGAGAUGGCGUUUCCUUACCAGGAGGGCAGGUUGGAAGGGAAAGAGAGUGAGCCAGCAUUUUAGAGGGUUGGGAGAUAGUCCUAACAGAUACAGAAAGAUUCCAGGAGGGG